RNAcentral lists this long non-coding RNA (837 nucleotides) under Stegodyphus dumicola. RNAcentral's name for it is "uncharacterized LOC118181972". Lineage: Eukaryota; Metazoa; Arthropoda; Arachnida; Araneae; Eresidae. The record is from RNAcentral.
GUGAUUUAUUGGUAAAAGAUAUUACGUUUUUCUCAUUCAUAUACAAUUAUUAGUAUUUUCUGUUUUUGUAAAAAAUAUAACAGUUCAUUAGAAUUGCAUAAGUUGUUUAUAUAGAAUAAAAUGCAAACUCUUUGUCAAGUUUUUCAUAGCUCACCACUGCAUGUAAUCCACAAACAGGAUAGGUCUACAAAUUACAUUAGUAGCAAAUAUGUGUUCUAUAACCAAACAUAGGGAAGAUUUUGCAAUGUUGAUUACAACUAAAACCAUAUUAUUUACAGAUGCUGCAAUAUAAAUUUUGCAAUCGUAUGCAUGGAAGACAAUUCUUCCACUAUCUAGUGGUGAAGCAUUUGUUGGAUAGGUACGUUUGUGUACUGGACAUGGAAAAUUGUCAUGCUGUUACUGAAUAGAAAUUAUAUUUACUUGAACAUUUUAUAUGCCAUUUCACUGAUAAAGGUACAUGGGUCCUUUUUUUCUACAGAAACACUGUAAAAGAAGAUGACUCAAUGUUGUUCAGAUGACCAUGAGAUCAUUGACCAUACACUCCGUAAUCUUUUGCUUUUGGAAUGUGCUUUAGACUAUAUUUAUAUGCUCCUAUUGCUAAUAAUAUCAAAACUCCAAGACUGCAUUAUAGCUCCUUUGAUGACCAUCAGCAGGGAAAUUUUACUAUGUUUGUGAAUAGAAUUGUGAUACCCGGUCGAUAUGUGUCCUGUACCAACAGGAACACACAAUGACCUUUAUGGUAUUAUGUCAAAUUUGAUGAACUUUUAUUUCAUUUCAUGUAGUAAUCAUUUUUUAUCUGUAAUAUGUUACAGAAUAAAACAUUUUAAAACUUACAAA